UGGGGAAUUUUUCGCAAUGGGGGAAACCCUGACGAAGCAACGCCGCGUGGGGGAUGAAGGUCUUCGGAUCGUAAACCCCUGUCGAUCGGGACGAAAGCACCCAACCUAACACGUCGGAGUGUUGACUGUACCGGUGGAGGAAGCCACGGCUAACUCUGUGCCAGCAGCCGCGGUAAUACAGAGGUGGCAAGCGUUGUUCGGAAUUACUGGGCGUAAAGGGCGCGUAGGCGGUCUUGUAAGUCCCGUGUGAAAGCCCCCGGCUCAACCGGGGAAUGGCAUCUGAUACUGGCGGGCUCGAGGUCGAUAGGGGUGAGCGGAACUCCAGGUGGAGCGGUGAAAUGCGUAGAUAU
This 350-nucleotide ribosomal RNA is filed under the name uncultured bacterium. Its description in RNAcentral is "bacterial SSU rRNA". It matches the Rfam family "Bacterial small subunit ribosomal RNA", at positions 355 to 697 of the family's 1533-position model. The record is from RNAcentral.